Molecule: ribosomal RNA, 250 nt
Filed under: uncultured bacterium
Lineage: Bacteria
Description: partial 16S ribosomal RNA
Rfam family: Bacterial small subunit ribosomal RNA
Source: RNAcentral
UACAGAGGGUGCGAGCGUUAAUCGGAAUUACUGGGCGUAAAGCGCACGUAGGCGGCUUGGUAUGUCGGGUGUGAAAUCCCCGGGCUCAACCUGGGAACUGCAUCCGAAACUGCCUUGCUCGAGUAUGGGAGAGGGAAGCGGAAUUUCCGGUGUAGCGGUGAAAUGCGUAGAUAUCGGAAGGAACAUCAGUGGCGAAGGCGGCUUCCUGGACCAAUACUGACGCUCAGGUGCGAAAGCGUGGGGAGCAAAC